RNAcentral lists this ribosomal RNA (315 nucleotides) under uncultured eukaryote. Its description in RNAcentral is "partial 18S ribosomal RNA". It matches the Rfam family "Eukaryotic small subunit ribosomal RNA", at positions 1470 to 1796 of the family's 1831-position model. The record is from RNAcentral.
CCCUUAGACGUUCUGGGCCGCACGCGCGCUACACUGACCAGUGCAACAAGCAUCCGUCCUUGGCCGACAGGCCCGGGCAAUCUUUGAACGCUGGUCGUGAUGGGGAUAGACUUUUGCAAUUUUUGGUCUUCAACGAGGAAUUCCUAGUAAACGCAAGGCAUCAACUUGCAUUGAUUACGUCCCUGCCCUUUGUACACACCGCCCGUCGCACCUACCGAUUGAAUGGUCCGGUGAAGCCUCCGGAUUGGCGCGCACCUCGGUGCCGCCGAGAAGUUGGCUAAACCUUACCAUUUAGAGGAAGGUGAAGUCGUAACA